Neopelma chrysocephalum (saffron-crested tyrant-manakin) is the source of this 4571-nucleotide long non-coding RNA. RefSeq lists it as uncharacterized. The transcript is spliced from 2 exons. NCBI's taxonomy places the organism in Eukaryota, Metazoa, Chordata, Aves, Passeriformes, Pipridae. The record is from RefSeq and is a predicted model, not a curated record.
UGAUGUGUGAUGGUGCUGACCCACUUCUGCCUUUGUGUCAUCACUGAGUGGUAUCGCAACAUUCUCUAGUUUUCAGUGGCAAUGUGCUCUUACAAUGGGAUGAAGAGGAAUAAGUGACACUACCAUACGGCAUUCAAAUGAGUGCACUUCAGAGCAAGGUCCCUUCAACAGCAGCACUGGAGAGAAGAAACCAGGUUUUUUGUAUGUUGGGGGCUGUGGGAGAUAGCGAAACAUUCACGUGAGGCUCUUGACACUUGCUCAAGAAGGAGAAAUAAGGCACAGAGACAUUUUUUUUGGCCUGCUCCAGAUGCUUCCAGCCAAGCCAAGAACAAACCCUGGGAUCCUAGUAUCAUGUCUAGCUUCUGGAAAACAGCAACUCUUUUUCUGAUCUGGUUCUUGCCUACCUUCAUAUGGGAAGCUUUGUGAGUCCCUGUGAGCUGAGGGUAGGGGAUUUCUGUAAAAUACACUCCAGUGUAGAUUCCCAUCACUUUCCGUUUGGAUCUCCCACGGUCCUGUCUGCCCUUUCGUCCUUAUUCCUUGUCCCCAUUUUUUAGGCAGCAAUGCUGGAGUCUAUCCUCCUGACUUAGCUGUUGCAUUUUAAUUUUCAACAGGCCCCUAUUGCUCUUGCACCUUGUGUGUGGUCUUUGAACGUUAUGUGGCUCGGCAGCUGGGAAUAGUGAGUGGGUGGGCAAUUUAAAACAGAAAAGACUCUGUAUCAGCACAGGGCUGAGGUUUGAACUCUGCUCAGCUUUGGAUACAUGUAGCUGGUUCUCAGGGCUAUGAUUUAAGUGCUGUUUCGCUGUUGUCAGUGUGAAACCUAAAUCAGUGCUAAGAAACUGGUAGGGAUGAAAAAAAACUUUGCCUGUCUGAUAACGAGUGUUACUCUUGGCCCUGAUGAAAAAUUGCAGGAUCAGGGCACCUUAGAAUUUGUAUUCUGCUGUUUUGUCACCAUUUUGCCUCCCCAACUUGGAAAACAAGGAGUGUCUAAUAUGAUGCCAGGGUUUCUUUGUUGGAGUAUGUUUAUGAGCUGUUUCAUGCUGUGUAGGACACAAUUCUGAUUCUGAGUUUCCUGAGGAUAUGGAUUGCUGAUGGAGAGAGGCAGGUGAGGUGGAUGCCAACCUGUGAGACAAAAUACUUUAUUGCAUUCAUCUGAGCAUCUCUCUGAGACAAGGUAAAUGGGGUCAAGCAACAAAAUAUAAUCCCAAUGUCAUGAAUUGUUGAGCUCAUAGGGCCUGGUCCCCAGCUGCUUCUUCCUCCUUUUUGCUAUUUUCUGUGCCAGUAGAGGAUCAUACGGAUUGGAGGUCAAGUGGGAGACCCUGCUUUUCAUGUGCCCUGGCAUGAUUCCCACACACGCACACUUCUUUUGCACUUUCGAUGGUGAGCCCACUCCGCAUGGGCAGAAAGUUCUCAUGUAUGGGAGAUUCAUCACUGGCUCUCCUUCACAUUUGCAGCCCAGAGUACCAAGUUCUCAAAAUUUCAGUGCAGAGGUAGUUCUUUCCCCACCCACUUUCCAUCUAUCCCACCCAGGUAGACAGGAUGAGCAGAAAGAAUCCUUGCCUUGAUGAGAUUGAUAAAUGAGGCUGGAACAGAGCUCCUCUUUUCUGGAGUCCAUAUGGAGUCCUACCCAACUUCAAACUCAUAGCUGAUUCAAAAAAAAAAAUAGAAGUUGGCAAGUCCCUAAGUACUUUUAAAGAUCCUAAAGGUUAAAGACAUGGCCGAUUGGCAUUCUUUUUAGAGCCCGGAGUGAUAGUAUAUUUACUUCACAGAAUUAAAAAGAAUGUACAAUUAGCAUUAGAAACCUAUUAGAUAGAUAUUUGGAAGAGUCAUUUAAUUUUCCAGUGCCACAUAAGUACCCAUCAUUCAUCCCCACUGCACUGGGCUUCAUACUGAUUCUUAACAUUAUACGCUACAGUCUGCAAAAUAUAAGUAAGCGUAAAAAAGCAAAAAAGGAGAAUACCCUUGUUUUCAAGGAGCUGGCACAUUACAGACUAACAUCAGCCAUGUUAUUGUAGAGGUUCCAUCCUUAAAAACAGGUAAUGUGCUACAGCACCAUGUAAAAGCAUACUGAAGACCAAAUGGGCGUUACUGCCUCUUUACUACAUCUUGCACAUCACUGCAUUCCUUUUUUGGGUUUUGUUUUCAUAAUAAUAAAGGUGUAUGGCCAACAGCCUCUUCCUGUGGUGGAAUAACACAGGGCCAUGAAGGUACAGUUGGGUGUUAGAGUCAGAUGGAUGGCAUUAGUGAGAGUUGAAGGUUUGGCAGUGAUGGGAACUAACCAGGACUACUAGCAACAUUUUGGGAAACCGAAGCAGUGCAGCCAGGACCAACACAAUUUAAUAUACUUUCUAGAGGAAAAAGUCUGCACAGAAUUUGUGUAUGAAGUAUAAUGAAUGAAGCGGCAGACUCUAGAAGGAUUUCAUGGGAAAAGACUUGAAAUCCUGUAAUAUUUUUGACAAAGCUUUUUGUUCAAGUGUAAGUGAAUAUUCUGCAAAGAGCUUCCAGGAUGAAAAGCCCAAUAGAAUGCUUCCUAUUACUAAUGGGGUUUCUAUUUUAUUCAGGCAUAUAUAUAAUUAGCUUUGAUAAAAAGCUGAGACUCCUUUUUGUUGACAUAAUCCGGCAAAUACACCCCAAACUAUGCUAAUAGCAAUGUGUGUCUGCUUAACAAGUGUGAAUACUUUGCACACAGCAGCAAUUGUGUUGACAGUGGAUGACACUGUAAAAUUGCUGUUCACUGCGAUGUGAAUCCUUUCAAACCCAAUGAUUCUUGAUUUUCACUUUCAUAAUCACUGAGUCAAAUUCACUCCUCCCCACUCCCUCACAUUCUACCUAUGUCUGGGAAGCUGGGGAAAUUGUAUUCUACCUCAUUUUAGGUAACUGCACAGAUUCUCUCAUCCUGUGGUUGCUAUUCCAAACUGCAUUGGAUCGUGAGUAUGCUCAACUGUGGCUUUCCAGUCUUUAUUCUGGGCUGCCCUGAACUCACCUUAGAUGGAGAUUUGGGGGUGCCAGCAUAGUAUAAAAGGCUCUUUUACUUCUGCAGGUUCUCAGCAAUUAAGGCCUGGCAGCAAUGGAUAAUUCUCUGAUUAAAAUGAUCCAAAUGAUUCAAUAGGUACGUUGUUAAAAAAAAAUAGCUCUGAAUCCUGCAUUGUUACAACCUACAACAACCAAUCUUUUAGCAAAUUCCCCAUUUUAUUCUUUAUUCCUUUUGUGACAAAAAGUGAAAUCUAAACUUGUUGCAGGAGCAGUUGUAGCAUCCACUGACUUAAAAAAGGACCUCUAACAGUAAAUUGGUCCCUAAAAGCAAUUAACUCAUAUUUGGAGGCAGCAGACUAUUCUGUAUUGAAAGUGUGAGUAAACAUUUCUACUAAACAUGUGCAAGAGGGGAUACUUGCCCUGAUGGAAACUGUGGCAGACAGAUCCCGUGACAGUUCUGUUGUGGGAGCCAAUACUGUUCAAAAGAGGACAGCGAUCUUCUGAAACUUGUUUGAGGACAAGACAAGUAGAUGCAGAGGCAAAUAAUCAGAGCAAUCAAACAGUUCUCCCUGAACAGUUGUCAAGACCACCAAUAUAUACAUUCUGUGCCAUGAGUUUGUGGUGGUGCGCAUGAUAUGCAUGCACCAUAGCAACAAGAUAUUAAUCAUCAACACAGACAGGCACAUGUUGGGGUAAGUCUUCUGAGGUGCAAGUCGUAGGCUGAUCUGGUAUACACAACAAGCCCCAACGGUACCAGUUUCAGUGCUACCUCCAGCAGUAUUGCAUAGUUGAAUUCAUUACAGCUGAGUUUACGUCUUCCUCUGAAGGAUCCAAACUUUGGGCCUUGUGUAAAAAUGUCUAGACACGAAGAACAACUUCUCUUCCAGUUCUAUGUCCCUCUCUCUUUGUAGUUUUCAGUUACACACCCUGGGCAACUUCUUUGCUGGUGAGACACCACUGACUGGAGUGGUACUGUGCCAGCACCAUCUUUGGCACUCUGAGUGAUGGCAGAGAUUUUCAGAAGAGCUCAAGUGAGAAGGCUGUGAGCCCAAUUCCUCUUACAUUUGGUCAGUAGCCUGCUCUUGGCUCGUCAGCAUCUCUGCAAGGCCACUGGUGCCCAGUGCAGGCACUUCCCACUUGCCAGCAAUCUGAAGAGAAAUAACAGACAAUUUAGUGGCACAAAACUUUCUCUUUCAGCAGUUUGUUUUAUUUACCUAGAUUUUUCUUUGAAGAUGACACACCAGGAAAGUGCACCUAUACCAACCAGAGCAUUUGGACCACUAUGCUGAAGAGUUUGGCAUGCAUUUUCAGUUGUGAAGAUUCUCCCUGUCUUUUCACAGGUGUGCACUGAUACAACUCGUCCAAACUCAACAGAGCAGAUCCUGAUGUACACAAGGACACUCAUAUUCAGAUUACCCAGCUCUCCCCCUCCUCUUCCCCUCAAGGUCUUUCUGCUCAUGUCAUGUGGAAUGGCAUAAGUUCAGGUAUGGAGCAGAGAGACUUUGAAAUAGAAAAUCAGAGGAUACCGCAGGCCAUAUUGGAGAAGAGCUGGCAGAGUGGUGAGGGUUAGGACUAAGGUAGGCUUGUAUGGGGUGCCGUGU